CAUACUGCCCUCAGCAUCAAGCCACUACAAGUAGCUGUGCUAGCUGAACUGCUCCAUGAAAAAUAUUCUCUGUGCCAUUUCCAACCAGAGCAAUUUAGAAGCUAAAAAACACGAUGAAAAACUGUAGUGAAGGGAUUAAAAAAAUGGCACAAAAUGAAUGAAGUAAUAAUUACAGCAAAUGACCUUACGCAUCAAAUCUAUACCUCGUUGAACUGCCUUCAGCUUCUCAAGAGAAUAUGCACUGAAAUCAAAAUGCCCCAAAAACUAUAUACCUCAAUCUUGAGACCCAAUUUGUGGACCCAAACGUGUAAUGCAGAGUGCUACUAUUCUGACCUGUAACAAAUUUAAAAAACAAAACAAAAAAAUUCCCAGUGAAAUCAC
This 381-nucleotide long non-coding RNA is filed under the name Trifolium pratense (red clover). RNAcentral's name for it is "long non-coding RNA (TPRA_LNC012904)". Lineage: Eukaryota; Viridiplantae; Streptophyta; Magnoliopsida; Fabales; Fabaceae. The record is from RNAcentral.